This 429-nucleotide ribosomal RNA is filed under the name uncultured bacterium. RNAcentral's name for it is "bacterial SSU rRNA". It matches the Rfam family "Bacterial small subunit ribosomal RNA", at positions 917 to 1345 of the family's 1533-position model. The record is from RNAcentral.
GGACCCGCACAAGUAGUGGAGCAUGUGGUUUAAUUCGAAGAUACGCGCAGAACCUUACCAACACUUGACAUGUUCGUCGCGACUUUAAGAGAUUAAAGUUUUCGGUUCGGCCGGACGAAACACAGGUGCUGCAUGGCUGUCGUCAGCUCGUGUCGUGAGAUGUUGGGUUAAGUCCCGCAACGAGCGCAACCCUCACUUUUAGUUGCCAUCAUUAAGUUGGGCACUCUGAAAGAACUGCCAGUGAUAAGCUGGAGGAAGGUGGGGAUGACGUCAAGUCCUCAUGGCCCUUACGUGUUGGGCUACACACGUGCUACAAUGGUAUCUACAACAGGAAGCAAGACAGCGAUGUUUAGCAAAUCCUCAAAGAUACCUCAGUUCGGAUUGCACUCUGCAACUCGAGUGCAUGAAGCUGGAAUUACUAGUAAUCGU